GACGAACGCUGGCGGCGUGCCUAAUACAUGCAAGUAGAACGCUGAAGAGAGGAGCUUGCUCUUCUUGGAUGAGUUGCGAACGGGUGAGUAACGCGUAGGUAACCUGCCUGGUAGCGGGGGAUAACUAUUGGAAACGAUAGCUAAUACCGCAUGACAUUGAUUAUCGCAUGAUAAUUGAUUGAAAGAUGCAAUUGCAUCACUACCAGAUGGACCUGCGUUGUAUUAGCUAGUUGGUGAGGUAACGGCUCACCAAGGCGACGAUACACAGCCGACCUGAGAGGGUGAUCGGCCACACUGGGACUGAGACACGGCCCAGACUCCUACGGGAGGCAGCAGUAGGGAAUCUUCGGCAAUGGGGGGAACCCUGACCGAGCAACGCCGCGUGAGUGAAGAAGGUUUUCGGAUCGUAAAGCUCUGUUGUAAGAGAAGAACGGGUGUGAGAGUGGAAAGUUCACACUGUGACG
This 464-nucleotide ribosomal RNA is filed under the name Streptococcus sanguinis. RNAcentral's name for it is "bacterial SSU rRNA". It matches the Rfam family "Bacterial small subunit ribosomal RNA", at positions 28 to 474 of the family's 1533-position model. The record is from RNAcentral. Lineage: Bacteria; Bacillati; Bacillota; Bacilli; Lactobacillales; Streptococcaceae.